CUGCCUGGGUGUUCCGGGGCAUCUUCCUCUUCCUCACAGCGUCCUCCUCCAUCUGGCCAAGGUUUGGGAGUAGGAAAUCCUGGGGGACUGGGGGCGAUG
Long non-coding RNA from Corvus hawaiiensis (hawaiian crow), 99 nucleotides. RefSeq lists it as uncharacterized. The transcript is spliced from 3 exons. The record is from RefSeq and is a predicted model, not a curated record. NCBI's taxonomy places the organism in Eukaryota, Metazoa, Chordata, Aves, Passeriformes, Corvidae.